RNAcentral lists this ribosomal RNA (529 nucleotides) under uncultured bacterium. RNAcentral describes it as "bacterial SSU rRNA". It matches the Rfam family "Bacterial small subunit ribosomal RNA", at positions 8 to 526 of the family's 1533-position model. The record is from RNAcentral.
AGAGUUUGAUCAUGGCUCAGAGUGAACGCUGGCGGUAGGCCUAACACAUGCAAGUCGAACGGCAGCACAGAGGAGCUUGCUCCUUGGGUGGCGAGUGGCGGACGGGUGAGGAAUACAUCGGAAUCUACCCUGUCGUGGGGGAUAACGUAGGGAAACUUACGCUAAUACCGCAUACGACCUUCGGGUGAAAGUAGGGGAUCGCAAGACCUUACGCGAUUGGAUGAGCCGAUGUCGGAUUAGCUUGUUGGCGGGGUAAAAGCCCACCAAGGCGACGAUCCGUAGCUGGUCUGAGAGGAUGAUCAGCCACACUGGAACUGAGACACGGUCCAGACUCCUACGGGAGGCAGCAGUGGGGAAUAUUGGACAAUGGGCGCAAGCCUGAUCCAGCCAUACCGCGUGGGUGAAGAAGGCCUUCGGGUUGUAAAGCCCUUUUGUUGGGAAAGAAAUCCUGUCGGUUAAUACCCGGUAGGGAUGACGGUACCCAAAGAAUAAGCACCGGCUAACUUCGUGCCAGCAGCCGCGGUAAUUC